This 641-nucleotide ribosomal RNA is filed under the name Acinetobacter pittii. RNAcentral describes it as "bacterial SSU rRNA". It matches the Rfam family "Bacterial small subunit ribosomal RNA", at positions 349 to 975 of the family's 1533-position model. The record is from RNAcentral. Lineage: Bacteria; Pseudomonadati; Pseudomonadota; Gammaproteobacteria; Moraxellales; Moraxellaceae.
CAGCAGUGGGGAAUAUUGAGCACAAAGGGCCAAACCCCGAUCUGCCACCCUUGCCGUGUGUGUUAAAAACCCCUCUAUGGUGGAAAACCACUCUACGCGAGGAGGAGGAUCCUCUUGUUAAUACCUAGAGAUAGUGGACGUUACUCGCAGAAUAAGCACCGGGUAACUGGGUGCCAGCAGCCGCGGUAAUACAGAGGGUGCAAGCGUUAAUCGGAUUUACUGGGCGUAAAGCGCGCGUAGGCGGCUAAUUAAGUCAAAUGUGAAAUCCCCGAGCUUAACUUGGGAAUUGCAUUCGAUACUGGUUAGCUAGAGUGUGGGAGAGGAUGGUAGAAUUCCAGGUGUAGCGGUGAAAUGCGUAGAGAUCUGGAGGAAUACCGAUGGCGAAGGCAGCCAUCUGGCCUAACACUGACGCUGAGGUGCGAAAGCAUGGGGAGCAAACAGGAUUAGAUACCCUGGUAGUCCAUGCCGUAAACGAUGUCUACUAGCCGUUGGGGCCUUUGAGGCUUUAGUGGCGCAGCUAACGCGAUAAGUAGACCGCCUGGGGAGUACGGUCGCAAGACUAAAACUCAAAUGAAUUGACGGGGGCCCGCACAAGCGGUGGAGCAUGUGGUUUAAUUCGAUGCAACGCGAAGAACCUUACC